Molecule: ribosomal RNA, 708 nt
Filed under: uncultured bacterium
Lineage: Bacteria
Description: bacterial SSU rRNA
Rfam family: Bacterial small subunit ribosomal RNA
Source: RNAcentral
AACAUGCAGUCGAACGAGAAAGUGGAGCAUCCAUGAGUAAAGUGGCGACCGGGUGAGUAACACGUGACUAACCUACCCUACAGUGGGGGAUAACUCCGGGAAACCGGGGCUAAUACCGCAUAACAUCGUAAGAUCAAAGGAGCAAUUCGCUGAAGGAGGGGGUCGCGGCUGAUUAGUUAGUUGGUGAGGUAACGGCUCACCAAGACGAAGAUCAGUAGCCGGCCUGAGAGGGCGCACGGCCACACUGGAACUGAAACACGGUCCAGACUCCUACGGGAGGCAGCAGUGGGGAAUUUUGCGCAAUGGGGGAAACCCUAACGCAGCAACGCCGCGUGGAGGAUGAAGUCCCUUGGGAUGUAAACUCCUUUCGAUCGGGACGAUUAUGACGGUACCGGAAGAAGAAGCACCGGCUAACUCUGUGCCAGCAGCCGCGGUAAUACAGAGGGUGCAAGCGUUGUUCGGAAUUAUUGGGCGUAAAGGGUGCGUAGGCGGUGCGGUAAGUCUGUAGUGAAAUCUCUGGGCUCAACUCAGAGUCUGCUAUAGAAACUGCCGUGCUUGAGUGUGGGAGAGGUGAGUGGAAUUCCCGGGUGUAGCGGUGAAAUGCGUAGAUUCGGGGAGGGAACACCUGUGGCGAAAAGCGGUCACUGGACCACAACUGGACGCUGAUGCACGAAAAGCUAGGGGGAGCCAAACAGGAUUAGAUUCCCU